RNAcentral lists this long non-coding RNA (1103 nucleotides) under Mytilus galloprovincialis (Mediterranean mussel). Lineage: Eukaryota; Metazoa; Mollusca; Bivalvia; Mytilida; Mytilidae. The record is from RNAcentral.
AUUCAGGGUCAGCAACCCAACAACGGGUUGUCCGAUUCAUCUAAAAAUUUCAGAGCAGAUAAAUGUUGACCUGAUCAACAAUUUUACCCCAUGUCAGAUUUGCUCGAAAUGCUUUGGGUUUUGAGUUAUAAGCCAAAAACUGCAUUUUACCCCAUGUUCUAUUUUUAGCCAUGGCGGCCAUCUUGAUUUGAUGGCCGGGUCACCGGACACAUUUUUCAAAAUACUAACCCAAAAGAUGAUUGUGGCCAAGUUUGGAUUAAUUUGGCCCAGUAGUUUCAGAGGAGAAGAUUUUUGUAAAAGAUUACUAAGAUUUACGAAAAAUGGUUAAAAAUUGACUAUAAAGGGCAAUAACUCCUAAAGGGGUCAACUGACCAUUUCAGUCAUGCUGACUUAUUUGUAAAUCUUACUUUGCUGAACAUUAUUGCUGUUUACUGUUUAUCUCUAUCUAUAAUAAUAUUCAAGAUAAUAACCAAAAACAGCAAAAUUUCCUUAAAAUUACUAAUUCAGGGGCAGCAACCCAACAACGGGUUAUCCGAUUCAUCUGAAAAUUUUAGGGCAGAUAGAUCUUCACCUGAUCAACAAUUCUACCCCAUGUCAGAUUUGCUCUAAAUGCUUUGGUUUUUGAGUUAUAAGCCAAAAACUGCCUUUUACCCCUAUGUUCUAUUUUUAGCCGUGGCGGCCAUCUUGGAUGGUUGGCCGGGUCACCGGACACAUUUUUUAAACUAGAUACCCCAAAGAUGAUUGUGGCCAAGUUUGGAUUAAUUUAGCCCAGUAGUUUCAGAGGAGAAGAUUUUUGUAAAAGAUUACUAAGAUUUACGAAAAAUGGUUAAAAAUUGACUAUAAAGGGCAAUAACUCCUUAAGGGGUCAACUGACCAUUUCGGUCAUGUUGACUUAUUUGUAAAUCUUACUUUUCUGAACAUUAUUGCUGUUUACAGUUUAUCUCUAUCUAUAAUAAUAUUCAAGAUAAUAACCAAAAACAGCAAAAUUUCCAUAAAAUUACCAAUUCAGGGGCAGCAACCCAUCAACGGGUUGUCCGAUUCAUCUGAAAAUUUCUGGGCAGAUAGAUCUUGACCUGAUAAACAAUUUUACCUCGUGUCAGAUU